This 557-nucleotide long non-coding RNA is filed under the name Glycine max (soybean). RNAcentral describes it as "long non-coding RNA (GMAX_LNC001680)". Lineage: Eukaryota; Viridiplantae; Streptophyta; Magnoliopsida; Fabales; Fabaceae. The record is from RNAcentral.
AAGUCCUGAAUUCUUGGUGCUAGCUAAUUGUAAUAAAAAGUGAAGCCAUAUCCAUGACUCCGGCUUCUAGUGAGAGAAGUUCAUGAGCAAGCAAGCACAAAACAAGUAUAGUACUGGUCAAUUCGAUUAUUUAUUUUUUCAUACAAGUUUCCACUCUGAUACACCAAUUUUUUUUAAUGAAGCUCUUGGGAGGCUCCGGCAGGAUCGGCGGUGACCGGAGCAGUUUGAAGACCAGAGCCGAGAGCUAGCAGAAAACCCUAGAUUGCUCUCAGAGGAAGAAGAAAGAGAAGUAGCAAUAAUAAUAGGUAGAAUUUAUUUGAAAAUUGGUAUUUAUAGUAAAGGAGGGAGAUGGAAGUAAUAAACGUGUUGUCGUUUUAAGGAAUUCUGGAAUUGGAAGUAUUUUGCAGAAAGAUGGAAAUGAAAUUUGUAUUUGGGGGAGUCAACAGUGUUUGAGCCGUUGAAGGUGAAUGAAGAAGAAGAAGAGAAAGAAGGGAUGCGUGACGUUAGGAUUUUGGAGUUCCCAAGAUAAAUAAAAGGGGUACUAUUUUAUUUUUAAA